GAUGAACGCUGGCGGCGUGCCUAAUACAUGCAAGUCGAGCGAACAGACGAGAGUGCUUGCACUCUCUGACGUUAGCGGCGGGCGGGUGAGUCACACGUGGGUAACCUACCUAUAAGACUGGGAUAACUUCGGGAGACCGGAGCACAUGCCGGAUGCUCUUUAUCUUCGGAUGAGGCAAUAGUGAUACGCGGUUCUGGUGUCACCUAUCGAUUGACCAGCGGUGUAUUGGAUAGUUGGCGAGGUAACGGCUUACCAAGUCAGCGACACGUAACCGAAGUGAGAGAGUGAUCGGCGACAUGGGGACUGAGCCACGGCCCAGAGUCCUGCGGGAGGCAGCAGAAGGGAAUCGGCCGCAAUAGACGAAAGUCUGACGGAGCAAGGCCGCGUGAGUGAAGAAGGUUUUCGGAUCGUAAAACUCUGUUGUAAGGUAAGAACAGGUACGUUAGUAACUGAACGGACCGUGACGGUACCGUACCAGAAAGCCACGGCUAACUACGUG
Molecule: ribosomal RNA, 499 nt
Filed under: uncultured bacterium
Lineage: Bacteria
Description: partial 16S ribosomal RNA
Rfam family: Bacterial small subunit ribosomal RNA
Source: RNAcentral